Molecule: microRNA precursor, 141 nt
Organism: Gossypium arboreum
Lineage: Eukaryota; Viridiplantae; Streptophyta; Magnoliopsida; Malvales; Malvaceae
Rfam family: MIR396 microRNA precursor family
Source: Rfam
CUUGGUAUUCUUCCACAGCUUUCUUGAACUGCAACUUCGUCAUAGAUCGUUGGUUGCCUGUUGUUGUUAAUGGUGCAUCCAUGUGGGCGGUAUACGGCUAUUUUUUUUGCGGUUCAAUAAAGCUGUGGGAAGAUACACACA